This 555-nucleotide ribosomal RNA is filed under the name Ischnura sp. BW-2019. RNAcentral's name for it is "partial large subunit ribosomal RNA". It matches the Rfam family "Eukaryotic large subunit ribosomal RNA", at positions 1389 to 1884 of the family's 3401-position model. The record is from RNAcentral. Lineage: Eukaryota; Metazoa; Arthropoda; Insecta; Odonata; Coenagrionidae.
UCGCGGCGGCGCGCGCAGAAGGGUCUGGGCUCGAGCCUGCCUGGAGCCGCCGCCGGUGCAGAUCUUGGUGGUAGUAGCAAAUACUCCAGCGAGGCCCUGGAGGACUGAUGUGGAGAAGGGUUUCGUGUGAACAGCCGUUGCACACGAGUCAGUCGAUCCUAAGCCCUAGGAGAAAUCCGACGCCUACGGCGACGGGAUUUUUUAAAAAAUUGAAAUCGACCCGUUGAUCGGGCGAAAGGGAAUCCGGUUCCUAUUCCGGAACCCGGCAGCGGAACCGCUGUUUGUCGGGCCCUCACAAGGGGUUCGUCAGGGUAACCUAAAAGGGCCCGGAGACGCCGUCGGGAGCCCCGGAAAGAGUUUUCUUUUCUGCAUGAGCGUUCGAGUUCCCUGGAAUCCUCUCGCAGGGAGAUAGGGUUUGGAACGCGAAGAGCACCGCAGUUGCGGCGGUGCCCGGGAAUUCCCGACGGACCUUGAAAAUCCGGGAGAGGGCCACGUGGAGGUGUCGCGCCGGCUCGUACCCAUAUCCGCAGCAGGUCUCCAAGGUGAAGAGCCUCU